This 439-nucleotide ribosomal RNA is filed under the name uncultured bacterium. RNAcentral describes it as "bacterial SSU rRNA". It matches the Rfam family "Bacterial small subunit ribosomal RNA", at positions 29 to 464 of the family's 1533-position model. The record is from RNAcentral.
AGUGAACGCUGGCGGCAGGCCUAAUACAUGCAAGUCGAACGGCAGCACAGCAGAGCUUGCUCUGUGGGUGGCGAGUGGCGGACGGGUGAGGAAUACAUGGGAAUCUGCCCAGUCGUGGGGGAUAACGUAGGGAAACUUACGCUAAUACCGCAUGCGCCCUUCGGGGAAAGCCGGGGACCUUCGGGCCUGGCGCGAUUGGAUGAGCCCAUGUCGGAUUAGCUAGUUGGCGGGGUAAUGGCCCACCAAGGCGACGAUCCGUAGCUGGUCUGAGAGGAUGAUCAGCCACACUGGAACUGAGACACGGUCCAGACUCCUACGGGAGGCAGCAGUAGGGAAUAUUGGACAAUGGGCGCAAGCCUGAUCCAGCCAUGCCGCGUGAGUGAAGAAGGCUCUCGGGUUGUAAAGCUCUUUUGUCCGGAAAGAAAAAGCGCCGGGUUAA